Long non-coding RNA from Scylla paramamosain (green mud crab), 485 nucleotides. RefSeq lists it as uncharacterized. NCBI's taxonomy places the organism in Eukaryota, Metazoa, Arthropoda, Malacostraca, Decapoda, Portunidae. The transcript is spliced from 3 exons. The record is from RefSeq and is a predicted model, not a curated record.
CAAUGUGGACAGGAUUUUGGGUCAGCCAAAAAAAAAAAGGAUGAAUUGAAAUCCCGCACGAUCCUCCAUUCAAAACUCGCGCCCUCUAGAUCAUCAAGCAAGAAGCAACAGUGUUCAAUGUGAUAGUGGUGAGCGGUGUAGCGUGGAUGUGCGCGUCCAUCAAUCUUUCGCAGCUACGCCUUUCCGUGAGGCGGCUGGAGCAGGAAAUCGCCGAGCCGUGCUGCAGAGAGGAAAGGAUGGCAGGUGGUGCCGCGGUGAACACUCCCAACACAUGCAGGAGGAAAGAAAGGAUGGCAGGUGGUGCCGCGGUGAACACUCCCAACACAUGCAGGAGGAAAGUGAGUACCUGCUUCAUUACAUCAUGUGCCCUCUAUUUUGGAUUUUUUUUUUUUUUCAUUUCAACUGAAACCUGUUGCCUGCCUUUCUCCUGUCAGCUUCCCACGAAUCUGUGAAGGAAAGAAAGGAUGUGCUUCCAUGGUAUCGUG